This 202-nucleotide ribosomal RNA is filed under the name Glomus sp. (unid). The record is from RNAcentral. Lineage: Eukaryota; Fungi; Glomeromycota; Glomeromycetes; Glomerales; Glomeraceae.
CAGUCGUACUGACGGGGAAUCAACUUCUCGAGCGUGUUUUAGUGGGUUCAAAGUGCCUUUGUUCUCGCGAUAUCCGCGUUUCUUUUGGUGCACUUUCUCGUAUUGUAAGUUAGCAUCGGUUUUGAUCGUCAUAAGAUGAUUGGAGGAAUGUGGCUUCGACUUCGGUUGAAGUGUUAUAGACUCUGGUAGAUGUAAUGGUUGA